Molecule: transfer RNA, 73 nt
Filed under: Apaloderma vittatum (bar-tailed trogon)
Lineage: Eukaryota; Metazoa; Chordata; Aves; Trogoniformes; Trogonidae
Rfam family: tRNA
About the family: Transfer RNA (tRNA) molecules are approximately 80 nucleotides in length. Their secondary structure includes four short double-helical elements and three loops (D, anti-codon, and T loops).
Source: Rfam by way of RNAcentral
GGCUAGUUAGCUCAGUGGGUUGAGCGCGAUGCUGAGAACACCAAGGUCCCGGGUUCAAUUCCCGUUCAGUCCG